GGGCUGGUAGCUCAGUUGGUAGAGCAGCGGACUUUUAAUCCGUUGGUCCCGGGUUCGAGUCCCGGCCAGCCCACCA
Molecule: transfer RNA, 76 nt
Filed under: Oligella urethralis
Lineage: Bacteria; Pseudomonadati; Pseudomonadota; Betaproteobacteria; Burkholderiales; Alcaligenaceae
Also listed under: 6 other names
Description: tRNA-Lys(ttt)
Rfam family: tRNA
About the family: Transfer RNA (tRNA) molecules are approximately 80 nucleotides in length. Their secondary structure includes four short double-helical elements and three loops (D, anti-codon, and T loops).
Source: RNAcentral